GUAAAGGUGGCUGAAAAUAGGUGGUGGGUUGUAAUUCCAUUUAUGGGGUAAAAUCCCCUCUUUACA
Molecule: transfer RNA, 66 nt
Filed under: Pogona henrylawsoni
Lineage: Eukaryota; Metazoa; Chordata; Lepidosauria; Squamata; Agamidae
Description: tRNA-Tyr
Rfam family: tRNA
About the family: Transfer RNA (tRNA) molecules are approximately 80 nucleotides in length. Their secondary structure includes four short double-helical elements and three loops (D, anti-codon, and T loops).
Source: RNAcentral